RNAcentral lists this unclassified non-coding RNA (348 nucleotides) under soil metagenome. RNAcentral describes it as "partial contains 5.8S ribosomal RNA, internal transcribed spacer 2, and large subunit ribosomal RNA". The stretch from base 1 to 120 matches the Rfam family "5.8S ribosomal RNA", at positions 35 to 154 of the family's 154-position model. The record is from RNAcentral.
GAUGAAGAACGCAGUGAAAUGCGAUAAGUAGUGUGAAUUGCAGAAUUCAGUGAAUCAUCGAAUCUUUGAACGCACAUUGCGCCCGCCAGUAUUCUGGCGGGCAUGCCUGUCUGAGCGUCAUUUCAACCCUCAUGCCCCUAGGGCGUGGUGUUGGGGAUCGGCCAAAGCCCGCGAGGGACGGCCGGCCCCUAAAUCUAGUGGCGGACCCGUCGUGGCCUCCUCUGCGAAGUAGUGAUAUUCCGCAUCGGAGAGCGACGAGCCCCUGCCGUUAAACCCCCAACUUUCCAAGGUUGACCUCAGAUCAGGUAGGAAUACCCGCUGAACUUAAGCAUAUCAAUAAGCGGAGGA